RNAcentral lists this ribosomal RNA (253 nucleotides) under uncultured bacterium. RNAcentral's name for it is "partial 16S ribosomal RNA". It matches the Rfam family "Bacterial small subunit ribosomal RNA", at positions 524 to 776 of the family's 1533-position model. The record is from RNAcentral.
CACGUAGGAUCCGAGCGUUAUCCGAAUUUACUGGGCGUAAAGCGCGUGCAGGCGGUCGGGUAAGUUGGGCGUGAAAUCUCCUGGCUCAACUGGGAGGGGUCGUCCAAAACUACUCGACUAGAGGGCGGUAGAGGGAGGUGGAAUUCCCGGUGUAGUGGUGAAAUGCGUAGAUAUCGGGAGGAACACCAGUGGCGAAAGCGGCCUCCUGGGCCGCACCUGACGCUCAGACGCGAAAGCUAGGGGAGCGAACGGG